RNAcentral lists this ribosomal RNA (896 nucleotides) under Wolbachia endosymbiont of Formica lugubris. Its description in RNAcentral is "bacterial SSU rRNA". It matches the Rfam family "Bacterial small subunit ribosomal RNA", at positions 73 to 1002 of the family's 1533-position model. Lineage: Bacteria; Pseudomonadati; Pseudomonadota; Alphaproteobacteria; Rickettsiales; Anaplasmataceae. RNAcentral also lists the same sequence under 1 other name. The record is from RNAcentral.
UUGUAGCCUGCUAUGGUAUAACUUAGUGGCAGACGGGUGAGUAAUAUAUAGGAAUCUACCUAGUAGUACGGAAUAAUUGUUGGAAACGGCAACUAAUACCGUAUACGCCCUACGGGGGAAAAAUUUAUUGCUAUUAGAUGAGCCUAUAUUAGAUUAGCUAGUUGGUGGAGUAAUAGCCUACCAAGGCAAUGAUCUAUAGCUGAUCUGAGAGGAUGAUCAGCCACACUGGAACUGAGAUACGGUCUAGACUCCUACGGGAGGCAGCAGUGGGGAAUAUUGGACAAUGGGCGAAAGCCUGAUCCAGCCAUGCCGCAUGAGUGAAGAAGGCCUUUGGGUUGUAAAGCUCUUUUAGUGAGGAAGAUAAUGACGGUACUCACAGAAGAAGUCCUGGCUAACUCCGUGCCAGCAGCCGCGGUAAUACGGAGAGGGCUAGCGUUAUUCGGAGUUAUUGGGCGUAAAGGGCGCGUAGGCUGGUUAGUAAGUUAAAAGUGAAAUCCCGAGGCUUAACCUUGGAACUGCUUUUAAAACUGCUAACCUAGAGAUUGAAAGAGGAUAGAGGAAUUCCUAGUGUAGAGGUGAAAUUCGUAAAUAUUAGGAGGAACACCAGUGGCGAAGGCGUCUAUCUGGUUCAAAUCUGACGCUGAGGCGCGAAGGCGUGGGGAGCAAACAGGAUUAGAUACCCUGGUAGUCCACGCUGUAAACGAUGAAUGUUAAAUAUGGGAAGUUUACUUUCUGUAUUACAGCUAACGCGUUAAACAUUCCGCCUGGGGACUACGGUCGCAAGAUUAAAACUCAAAGGAAUUGACGGGGACCCGCACAAGCGGUGGAGCAUGUGGUUUAAUUCGAUGCAACGCGAAAAACCUUACCACUCCUUGACAUGAAAAUCAUACCUAUUC